AGGACGAACGCUGGCGGCGUGCUUAACACAUGCAAGUCGAGCGGUAAGGCUCCUUCGGGAGUACACGAGCGGCGAACGGGUGAGUAACACGUGAGCAAUCUGCCCUUCACAUCGGGAUAACCCCCCGGAAACGGGAGCUAAUACCGGAUACGACCACUUCAGGCAUCUGAUGGUGGUGGAAAGUUCCGGCGGUGAAGGAUGAGCUCGCGGCCUAUCAGCUAGUUGGUGAGGUAACGGCCCACCAAGGCGACGACGGGUA
RNAcentral lists this ribosomal RNA (259 nucleotides) under uncultured bacterium. RNAcentral's name for it is "partial small subunit ribosomal RNA". It matches the Rfam family "Bacterial small subunit ribosomal RNA", at positions 26 to 285 of the family's 1533-position model. The record is from RNAcentral.